Triticum dicoccoides is the source of this 490-nucleotide long non-coding RNA. RefSeq lists it as uncharacterized. NCBI's taxonomy places the organism in Eukaryota, Viridiplantae, Streptophyta, Magnoliopsida, Poales, Poaceae. The record is from RefSeq and is a predicted model, not a curated record. The transcript has 3 exons.
GCCUCGCUCCGCGCUGCGGGAGCCGGGCUCCCCGCGAGCUCCUCCGCCUCCCGAGCGCCUCGCGCGCUGCCGGCCUCCUCCAGCCGUCGCCGGAGCCGCCCUCUCCGCCGUCCCAGGAACCCCGCCGCCGCCGCCAGGAACCUCGUCGACGGCCUCCUCGUCCUCAAGUCUCGCCGGAUCCGGGGUCCCCAGGCCCGGAUGCACCCGUUCCCGUCCGUCCCGGCCAUCCCCGGCCUCCGCCCCUGCCGGAACCCGUUGCCUCCGCCUCCAGCACCGCCAUGCCCUGCGUCCUCUGCAUCGGGCGGGAGGAGGACGAGCUCCUCCAGCGUCCGCGUGGGCCCGGCCCAGCAGCGCCCAGCGUGCCGGCCCAGCCAUCGGCCUCCCCAGAUCUGCACCGCUGGCCUCCUCUGUCGACCGGCCCAAGGCCCUGGUUCCGGUAAUGUUGCGAUUGUGAGGAUUCGUUCGACUACGUCCGCUUGUCUUCUUCAUG